RNAcentral lists this transfer RNA (84 nucleotides) under bacterium. RNAcentral describes it as "tRNA-Leu". It matches the Rfam family "tRNA". From Rfam's summary of the family: Transfer RNA (tRNA) molecules are approximately 80 nucleotides in length. Their secondary structure includes four short double-helical elements and three loops (D, anti-codon, and T loops). Further hydrogen bonds mediate the characteristic L-shaped molecular structure. tRNAs have two regions of fundamental functional importance: the anti-codon, which is responsible for specific mRNA codon recognition, and the 3' end, to which the tRNAs corresponding amino acid is attached (by aminoacyl-tRNA synthetases). tRNAs cope with the degeneracy of the genetic code in two manners: having more than one tRNA (with a specific anti-codon) for a particular amino acid; and 'wobble' base-pairing, i.e. permitting non-standard base-pairing at the 3rd anti-codon position. The record is from RNAcentral. RNAcentral also lists the same sequence under 1 other name.
GCCGAAGUGGUGAAAUUGGCAGACACGCUAUCUUGAGGGGGUAGUGCUCGCAAGGGCGUGCCGGUUCAAAUCCGGCCUUCGGCA